Molecule: long non-coding RNA, 199 nt
Filed under: Musa acuminata (dwarf banana)
Lineage: Eukaryota; Viridiplantae; Streptophyta; Magnoliopsida; Zingiberales; Musaceae
Description: long non-coding RNA (MACU_LNC009783)
Source: RNAcentral
GGGUCAUGAAUAUCGAGAAUCCAAAGAGCAGGAUAUUAUUUCUUGCUCCCAGCUUAUGAUGUUUUACGUCUUUACAAGAAAGGAUGAUUUUUAGGUACCCAUUUGCUUUUGGGUGCCUCAAAAAUAGAUCUACAUUGUUUAUCAUGUUGCAUAGACUUUAUCAUGGUUCCUUUAGGAACCCAAAUUAAUUUGUUCGGAC